GGAUUAACAUUUGGUAUUAUCAUAAUAGAAAACUGGUCUACUGGUCUCACUAGCGCUACUAUCCUGUCACUGACAACGGGAACACAUGUGCAGUGAUUGUGAGAGUAAGCCCAGAUGGUGGCUGGAGCCAGGUAGCUCAGAAGAAGAAUUAAUCUGGAAGCAGGUCGAGGAGGUCAUCAACCCUCCAAGAGCAUUUUUGUUCUUUGAGUCCCGGAAAUGGAUUUGGCAUGUUGCCUACCUUGUGUAUUAUAUUGUUUACAAACUAAUGUGUGUAUUUUUAUUACUGUAGUAUUCUUGUCAUUUUGUGAGCAGGAAGCUGUGAGUAGGGGAAUUUCUAUUAAAUUUUGACCAGUCUGUGAACAUUUAGUCUACCUGACAGCCAAGCUUUUACCUAAGAAACUGUCUCUGUCUGUGGUUUCAAAUAUACACAGGCAUUAUGUCAGAGAAUGUUAAAUAUUUCCAUUUAUUGAUUUUAAAAUAUACGUAUUUAUAAACUUAGCAUCCAACUCCAUUUGAUACAAUGUUAAGAAACAUGCACCCAAACCUACCAGCUUCAGUCUUUAAUAAGCCAAACUGCUGGAAAAACAGAAAUCAAAAAAAAAAAAAAAAAAAAAAGUAAACAGACAAAAAGCCAAUCCUACUUCUAAGAAGUACUACUUUUACGAAUAUUAUCUUGUGCCCCUCGGAUGGAAGUCCAGGAAAAGGUAGGCUUUGUAUUGACUGUUAAAUACUAGUGACAUACCUACACACAAAUAGGGAAGAAAGUUUCCAGUGACUUCAUAUAGAGAGAUUUCUAAAAUUAAGAAGUCAGUAGUGUGAACUCACCUGAAAGUACUGUGUAUGUUCCAGUGUUGAUGAGAUCCAGCAUGUAAGAGAAAUGUGUUUUGGAUAUGUCAUUCAUCCAUUUAAAUGCUGGCAAACGCCAACAAAAUGACCCAAUGGAAAUAAUAUAAAUACUCCUCCAAGUGUUCCAGAUGAGAGGUGUCACAUUGCUUAACCCAGCAAGAGUAACAGCCACAUCGUGUCAGACUGAACACCAGCUGAAUUCUCCCUCCUGGCUUCACAGAGGCCCACAGCAGCUGCCUGAGGGAAGGCAUAGCAACAGGAUAACUGUGCCCACAGUAGCUGACAAAUCGCCAACAGUUUGCAGUUCAAGGACUGUUUGGUCGUGGAGUGUUUUUUGUUGCUGUUUUUGGCCAAAAAGCUCUGGAAUGUCAAACUCUAGCAGGAGGAAGACCCCCUCACCCAACCACCACCAAACAUCACAGUGGUGGAAGAUGCCUGGAGACUGUUUCCUCUGCCAUUUGUCCAGCUCCAGUGUGUGCUGGCUAGCAGCACAGGGAGACAUGACAUUGAAGAAUUUGUGUGUCAAUGACUGUGGCUGACCAUUGUAUGUCAGAUGACAGAACAAAAGAAAAAGUGUGAACACACAAAACUACUUCAGAUUUCUUUACAUUUGCUGAAGAAGCUCUUGCUUCAAAAUCUGAUGCUGAAUUUUGACUGUCAAAGAUGGAAUAACACCACUUAAGUCAAUACAUGAAAGGAGACUUACAAUGGUCAGGUGUGGUUUUUUGAGACGAAUAGAAUUGAUUAGCAGUUAUAGUUCAUAAUUUGUGACUGUUUUUGCAAUAUCACAAAUGUGGAACUCCAAAGUCUUGAGGUAGUGAUACACCUCUGGACCAGAGGGUAGAGGGAAUUUUAUUUGUCAAUUUAAGCAUUGUGUGACAUCUCUGAAAUCUAUCUCUGAAAUCUCAAUCUAAUUAAUUCAUUUUUUUAAGUAAUUUAUAAUGAAAACAAAUAUAGUCUCAGUACAAUGGUAUAACUCUGUUUUAGGCGUUCCCCACUUCUGUGUAUCCCUCUGAUGUGCGUAGUAUCUACUUUUGAGUCUCCUCAUGUUUGUGUGCUAAUAGCUACUGCAAUCUAAUAGCUAAUCUUGGUAUAAACUGUUCCCUUGCAGCUACAGCAACAGCUACGGAAUCACUCAGCAAUACAGAGGUGCUCACAAUAGGAACUAUUUAUUCACAUAAGGCAGAUUCACAGUCUGAGGUUUUAAGCACUUCAGGAAAUAGACUGUGAUCUAAUUUUUCAAAUACCUGUGUAACUGUUAAAUUGAAUGAAAAUUUUCCUUGUUUGUACUAGUGGGGGAUGAUACUAUUCUCCAUCAUUCUGUUCAGAAAAUGCCUUAAAGUCUCCAGCUAUAUUGUGUAUUGUUUCCAUGACAUAAAUUGCAUCAAGGUGCAGCUUAUUAGGCAAGAUUUUUAAAAUAAACGAGUCCCCUUUUAUUUGACUAGAUCCUUG
Molecule: long non-coding RNA, 2298 nt
Filed under: Anser brachyrhynchus (Pink-footed goose)
Lineage: Eukaryota; Metazoa; Chordata; Aves; Anseriformes; Anatidae
Description: lncRNA (ENSABRG00000019548.1)
Source: RNAcentral